Molecule: ribosomal RNA, 446 nt
Filed under: uncultured bacterium
Lineage: Bacteria
Description: partial 16S ribosomal RNA
Rfam family: Bacterial small subunit ribosomal RNA
Source: RNAcentral
AGCCAGACUCCUACGGGAGGCAGCAGUGGGGGAUAUUGCACAAUGGGGGGAACCCUGAUGCAGCGACGCCGCGUGGGUGAAGAAGCGCCUCGGCGCGUAAAGCCCUGUCAGCAGGGAAGAAAAUGACGGUACCUGAAGAAGAAGCCCCGGCUAACUACGUGCCAGCAGCCGCGGUAAUACGUAGGGGGCAAGCGUUAUCCGGGUUUACUGGGUGUAAAGGGAGCGUAGACGGCAGUGCAAGUCCGGAGUGAAAGCCCGGGACUCAACCCUGGGACUGCUCUGGAAACUGCAAAGCUGGAGUGCGGGAGGGGCAGGCGGAAUUCCUGGUGUAGCGGUGAAAUGCGUAGAUAUUAGGAGGAACACCAGUGGCGAAGGCGGCUUGCUGGACGAUGACUGACGUUGAGGCUCGAAAGCGUGGGGAGCAAACAGGAUUAGAUACCCUGGUA